This 254-nucleotide ribosomal RNA is filed under the name uncultured prokaryote. RNAcentral's name for it is "partial 16S ribosomal RNA". It matches the Rfam family "Bacterial small subunit ribosomal RNA", at positions 525 to 777 of the family's 1533-position model. The record is from RNAcentral.
ACGUAGGGUCCAAGCGUUAUCCGGAAUUACUGGGCGUAAAGAGUUGCGUAGGUGGCAUAGUAAGUAGAUAGUGAAAGCGUGUGGCUCAACCAUACAUCCAUUAUCUAAACUGCUAAGCUUGAAGGCGAGAGAGGUAGAUGGAAUUCCUGAUGUAGGGGUAAUAUCCGUAGAUAUUGGGAGGAAUACCGGUGGCGAAGGCGGCCUUCUGGACGGUGACUGACACUCAGACGCGAAAGCGUGGGGAGCAAACAGGA